GAUGAGAACGUAGCGAAAUGCGAUAAGUAAUGUGAAUUGCAGAAUUCAGUGAAUCAUCGAAUCUUUGAACGCAUCUUGCGCUCCUUGGUAUUCUGAGGAGCAUGCCUGUUUGAGUGUCAUUAAAUUCUCAACUACACUGACUUUGAAUUGGUGUGGCUUGGAUUUGGGGGGAAAAUUGUUGUGGGCUUUUUGUAUAGUCUGCUCCCCUGAAAUUGAUUAGCGGUACCUUUGUGGAACUGUCUACAGGUGUGAUAAUUAUCUACAUCUUAGACAUCUGCUGGAAUGCUGCUUUCUAAACCUUACUUGUAUUGACAAUCUUGACCUCAAAUCAGGUAGGACUACCCGCUGAACUUAAGCAUAUCAAUAAGCGGAGGA
RNAcentral lists this unclassified non-coding RNA (375 nucleotides) under soil metagenome. RNAcentral's name for it is "partial contains 5.8S ribosomal RNA, internal transcribed spacer 2, and large subunit ribosomal RNA". The stretch from base 5 to 119 matches the Rfam family "5.8S ribosomal RNA", at positions 40 to 154 of the family's 154-position model. The record is from RNAcentral.